GGAGGGGUGGCAGAGCGGUUGAAUGCACUGGUCUUGAAAACCAGCGAUGGGUUAAACCAUCCGAGAGUUCGAAUCUCUCCCCCUCCGCCA
RNAcentral lists this transfer RNA (90 nucleotides) under Pseudomonadales bacterium. RNAcentral's name for it is "tRNA-Ser". It matches the Rfam family "tRNA". From Rfam's summary of the family: Transfer RNA (tRNA) molecules are approximately 80 nucleotides in length. Their secondary structure includes four short double-helical elements and three loops (D, anti-codon, and T loops). Lineage: Bacteria; Pseudomonadati; Pseudomonadota; Gammaproteobacteria; Pseudomonadales. The record is from RNAcentral.